RNAcentral lists this ribosomal RNA (799 nucleotides) under uncultured bacterium. RNAcentral describes it as "bacterial SSU rRNA". It matches the Rfam family "Bacterial small subunit ribosomal RNA", at positions 9 to 800 of the family's 1533-position model. The record is from RNAcentral.
GAGUUUGAUCCUGGCUCAGAAUGAACGCUGGCGGCGUGCCUAACACAUGCAAGUCGGAUGUGCCCGCAAGGGUGCAUGGCAGACGGGUGAGUAACGCGUGGAAAACCUACCUCUUUGUGGGGAAUAACGCUCCGAAAGGAGUGGUAAUACCGCAUGAGACCAUGGCCUGGGAUGGCCAUGGUGAAACCUGGGGACCGCAAGGCCUGGGGCAAGGAGAGGGUUCUGCGUCUGAUUAGCUAGUUGGUGGGGUAACGGCCUACCAAGGCGACGAUCAGUAGCCGGCCUGAGAGGGUGAUCGGCCACACUGGAACUGAGACACGGUCCAGACUCCUACGGGAGGCAGCAGUGGGGAAUUUUGCGCAAUGGGCGAAAGCCUGACGCAGCAACGCCGCGUGGGUGAUGAAGGUCUUCGGAUCGUAAAACCCUGUCGUCAGGGACGAAGGUCAGCCUUUGAAUAGGGGGUUGGCUUGACGGUACCUGGAGAGGAAGCCCCGGCUAACUCUGUGCCAGCAGCCGCGGUAAUACAGAGGGGGCAAGCGUUAUUCGGAAUUAUUGGGCGUAAAGGGCGCGUAGGCGGUGUUUUAAGUGAGAUGUGCAAUCCCCGGGCUUAACCUGGGAACUGCAUCUCAGACUGGAACGCUGGAGUGCUGGAGAGGGUGGUAGAAUUCCACGUGUAGCGGUGAAAUGCGUAGAGAUGUGGAGGAAUACCAGUGGCGAAAGCGGCCACCUGGACAGUAACUGACGCUGAGGCGCGAAAGUGUGGGUAGCAAACAGGAUUAGAUACCCUGGUAGUCCACGC